GACGAACGCUGGCGGCGUGCUUAACACAUGCAAGUCGAACGGAAAGGCCCUGCUUUUGUGGGUUUCUCGAUUGGCGAACGCGUGAGUAACACGUGAGUAACCUGCCCUUGUCUUUGGGAUAACUUCAGGAAACUGGGGCUAAUACCGGGUAGAAGCUCCUGCUGCAUGGUGGGGGUUGGAAAGUUUCGGCGGUUGGGGAUGGACUCGCGGCUUAUCAGCUUGUUGGUGGGGUAGUGGCUUACCAAGGCUUUGACGGGUAGCCGGCCUGAGAGGGUGACCGGCCACAUUGGGACUGAGAUACGGCCCAGACUGCUAUGGGAGGCAGCAGUGGGGAAUAUUGCGCAAUGGGCGGAAGCCUGAUGCAGCAACGCCGCGUGCGGGAUGACGGCCUACGGGUUGUAAACCGCUUUCGCCUGUGACGAAGCGUGAGUGACGGUAAUGGGUAAAGAAGCACCGGCUAACUACGUG
This 468-nucleotide ribosomal RNA is filed under the name uncultured bacterium. Its description in RNAcentral is "partial 16S ribosomal RNA". It matches the Rfam family "Bacterial small subunit ribosomal RNA", at positions 28 to 507 of the family's 1533-position model. The record is from RNAcentral.